This 1325-nucleotide ribosomal RNA is filed under the name Boeremia exigua var. pseudolilacis. RNAcentral describes it as "partial large subunit ribosomal RNA". It matches the Rfam family "Eukaryotic large subunit ribosomal RNA", at positions 68 to 1412 of the family's 3401-position model. Lineage: Eukaryota; Fungi; Ascomycota; Dothideomycetes; Pleosporales; Didymellaceae. The record is from RNAcentral.
ACAGGGAUUGCCCUAGUAACGGCGAGUGAAGCGGCAACAGCUCAAAUUUGAAAUCUGGCGUCUUUGGCGUCCGAGUUGUAAUUUGCAGAGGGCGCUUUGGCAUUGGCAGCGGUCCAAGUUCCUUGGAACAGGACGUCACAGAGGGUGAGAAUCCCGUACGUGGUCGCUAGCCUUUACCGUGUAAAGCCCCUUCGACGAGUCGAGUUGUUUGGGAAUGCAGCUCUAAAUGGGAGGUAAAUUUCUUCUAAAGCUAAAUACUGGCCAGAGACCGAUAGCGCACAAGUAGAGUGAUCGAAAGAUGAAAAGCACUUUGGAAAGAGAGUUAAAAAGCACGUGAAAUUGUUGAAAGGGAAGCGCUUGCAGCCAGACUUGCCUGUAGUUGCUCAUCCGGGUUUUUACCCGGUGCACUCUUCUAUAGGCAGGCCAGCAUCAGUUUGGGCGGUUGGAUAAAGGUCUCUGUCACGUACCUCCUCUCGGGGAGAACUUAUAGGGGAGACGUAAUGCAACCAGCCUGGACUGAGGUCCGCGCAUCUGCUAGGAUGCUGGCGUAAUGGCUGUAAGCGGCCCGUCUUGAAACACGGACCAAGGAGUCUAACAUCUAUGCGAGUGUUUGGGUGUCAAGCCCGAGCGCGUAAUGAAAGUGAACGGAGGUGGGAACCUUUCGGGGUGCACCAUCGACCGAUCCUGAUGUCUUCGGAUGGAUUUGAGUAAGAGCAUAGCUGUUGGGACCCGAAAGAUGGUGAACUAUGCUUGAAUAGGGUGAAGCCAGAGGAAACUCUGGUGGAGGCUCGCAGCGGUUCUGACGUGCAAAUCGAUCGUCAAAUUUGGGCAUAGGGGCGAAAGACUAAUCGAACUAUCUAGUAGCUGGUUCCUGCCGAAGUUUCCCUCAGGAUAGCAGUAACGUUUUCAGUUUUAUGAGGUAAAGCGAAUGAUUAGAGGCCUGGGGGUUGAAACAACCUUCACCUAUUCUCAAACUUUAAAUAUGUAAGAAGUCCUUGUUACUUAAUUGAACGUGGACAGUUGAAUGUAUCGUUACUAGUGGGCCAUUUUUGGUAAGCAGAACUGGCGAUGCGGGAUGAACCGAACGCGGGGUUAAGGUGCCAGAAUAUACGCUCAUCAGACACCACAAAAGGUGUUAGUUCAUCUAGACAGCAGGACGGUGGCCAUGGAAGUCGGAAUCCGCUAAGGAGUGUGUAACAACUCACCUGCCGAAUGAACUAGCCCUGAAAAUGGAUGGCGCUCAAGCGUAUUACCCAUACCCCGCCGCUGGGGCAAGAUUUAAGCCCCAGCGAGUAGGCAGGCGUGGAGGUCCGUGACGAAGCCUG